AGAGUUUGAUCCUGGCUCAGAAUCAACGCUGGCGGCGCGCUUAACACAUGCAAGUCGCACGAGAAAGCGGGGGUAACUCCGUGAGUAAAGUGGCGUACGGGUGAGUAACACGUGGGUAAUCUGCCCUCUAGUGGGGAAUAACCCUGGGAAACCGGGGCUAAUACCGCAUAAUCCCGAAAGGGGAAAGCAGCAAUGCGCUGGAGGAGGAGCCCGCGGCCGAUUAGUUAGUUGGUAGGGUAAUGGCCUACCAAGGCUUUGAUCGGUAGCCGGCCUGAGAGGGCACACGGCCACACUGGCACUGAAACACGGGCCAGACUCCUACGGGAGGCAGCAGUGGGGAAUCUUGCACAAUGGGGGAAACCCUGAUGCAGCGACGCCGCGUGAGCGAUGAAGCCCUUCGGGGUGUAAAGCUCUUUCGGCAGGAACGAUAAUGACGGUACCUGCAGAAGAAGCUGCGGCUAACUACGUGCCAGCAGCCGCGGUAAUACGUAGGCAGCAAGCGUUGUUCGGAGUUACUGGGCGUAAAGAGUGUGUAGGCGGUUCUCUAAGUUUGGUGUGAAAUCUCCCGGCUUAACUGGGAGGGUGCGCCGAAAACUGGAGGGCUUGAGUGCGGGAGAGGAGAGCGGAAUUCCUGGUGUAGCGGUGAAAUGCGUAGAUAUCAGGAGGAACACCUGCGGUGUAGACGGCUCUCUGGACCGCCACUGACGCUGAGACACGAAAGCGUGGGUAGCAAACAGGAUUAGAUACCCUGGUAGUCC
This 758-nucleotide ribosomal RNA is filed under the name uncultured bacterium. RNAcentral describes it as "bacterial SSU rRNA". It matches the Rfam family "Bacterial small subunit ribosomal RNA", at positions 8 to 796 of the family's 1533-position model. The record is from RNAcentral.